GUACUCGCUUCGGCGGUACAUGUACUAAAAUUGUUACGAUACUGAGUUGAUUAGCGUGGCCCCUGCGCAAGGAUGACACGGAAAAUCGUGAAGCGUUAGCCGCAAGU
Small nuclear RNA from Schistocerca serialis cubense, 107 nucleotides. The record is from RefSeq and is a predicted model, not a curated record. NCBI's taxonomy places the organism in Eukaryota, Metazoa, Arthropoda, Insecta, Orthoptera, Acrididae.